UACGUAGGGAGCAAGCGUUGUUCGGAUUUACUGGGCGUAAAGGGCGCGUAGGCGGCGCGGUAAGUCACUUGUGAAAUCUCUGAGCUUAACUCAGAACGGCCAAGUGAUACUGCAGUGCUAGAGUGCAGAAAGGGCAAUCGGAAUUCUUGGUGUAGCGGUGAAAUCCGUAGAUAUCAAGAGGAACACCUGAGGCGAAGGCGGGUUGCUAGGCUGACACUGACGCUGAGUGCGCGAAAGCCAGGGGAGCAAACGGG
Molecule: ribosomal RNA, 254 nt
Filed under: uncultured bacterium
Lineage: Bacteria
Description: partial 16S ribosomal RNA
Rfam family: Bacterial small subunit ribosomal RNA
Source: RNAcentral